AGCAAGUAUGCCAGCAAAAUCGUUGUGGGAAAGAAGCAAGCUUGUUUGUUCUCCUUCUCUCAGUUGUUAGUGGUAAUGACUUGUGUGUUGCUUAUAGCCUCCAAAGAACAAUAGCAGUAGAUCAAAAAGCAAAUGGGAACUCUGCUUUCUUUAUGAACAGAUGAAGAAAGACUUCAAGAGAAAAAGAGGAAGCAACACAUCUCAGGAUUUGAAUCAGACAAUGACAACAGCAAAUUUGACCAAAGUGUGAGAAGAUGUGCUAAAUGGAAAGCUUCUAUGCAGAAGUAGAACAUAGUGUGAAAGCUAAAACUUCAAAAUUCUUGGUGCUGCUGGAUUCUGUGUCAGUGUUUGCCAAAGUUUCAGCUCUGGCCCAAUUCCAAAGUCUCAAACCAGUAACAAGGAUAAUAAAGACUUUAAAUUCCAAGACACAGACUUAAAAUGAACCUUGGUAAUACUACACGGAAAAUGACUGCUGCUGGUCAUGUGGAAAAAAAUAAGUGUACCUCUUGGAUGCUAAAGGAUGCACUGUAUUCAAAACUUAUUGAAUAGAUGCGUGGAGCCCGCUGGGCAAGUUCUUCAGCAAGUACCCGUGAAAAGGUUUGGCCAGCUUACGAUGAAUAAGGCAUUGGAAUAUGCAUGAAAAAAAGGAGGAAAAAGAAUUUGAGCUGCUCUUUCUAGAAAGGGUGGAUUACUGCCCCAUCUGAGAUAUUCUGUUCUGCAUCAACUUAUUAUGUAUGAGAACUGUCUGCUGAAGGAAGUCCUGUAGUAGGGAGGAACCACACACACUUCUUUUUUAGGCUAAUGAAUGCUUAAGUGUUCUUACUAGUGGUUUGAAUAUAGUAGCAUGUACUCUGCAGGUGAUUUUAUUUUUAAUUCCUUUAACAUGCAUAUAUUCAUAUGGUGCAGAACAAAACAGGGGUUAAAAAAAGAGGUGAUGAACUCUCGAUAUCCUGCUCUGUGUCAUAAAUGACUAUGCAGGGCAGUGGGUAGAAGAUAAUCAGGCCCCUAUAAUUAGUGUUUCAGUGGUACCUACGAGCUAUGACCUUGCCAUUCUGAGUGUUGACAAAACCUUCAGAUGAAAGCCUUGAUCUUGGUCUGUACACACAUGUGUGCACUCUGGGCUUUCCUUCCACGCGUUGGGCUGGAUGCUGUCUUAGCAAGCGCAAGCAGCUCUGCUCCUGUAUUGAGCAGGUGUUCCUUUGUCUGCAUCCACUGAGGGCUCUUGCCCCAAGCACACCUGCCCUACAAAGGAUAGCUCUGAUUUGAACACACACCCCACAAACACAGUUAUGCAUAGUUAUGCAUCAGGAAACAAGAAAAUAACCCAGGGUGUGGAGCAGCGUUGCAUGUAAGUAGUCAGAUUGCUUAGCCCAAAACUACACAGCUCCCUUUCCCUGGGGUGUGCCCUAGCCCUUAGGCUAUGAUGUCUCAGGCUUCAUUUUGGCCUAAUUGUCCCUACAUUUUUUAUUACACUGUGGCAAAAAUUCAGUAGAUAUUUCCUUCCCCUAAUUUUCUUGGACGCUGUAAGGUUUAUUCACAAUUCUCAUUUUGUCUGAACUUAAGGUGGCAGUGGAUAUACACUGCGGUGAGCGUUGCUGGGCAAUCAUGUAAGACAUCACUGUUUGUGCUGCCUCUCUGAUGUGGGGUGAGAGCUGUCAGAGCGAGUGUGCGCUGGGCUCCUGCCUGACUGCAAAGCCCAGCUCGCAGAUGGUCGGUAAAAAUGUGUUUGAGUCAAGACACUGGAUUUUGAAGAGGAGCAGCCAAAAUGCAGAGACACAUCCCCUCCUGCUGACUUUGCUAGAGGGAUGGGAGCUCCAGCCCUAGGUGACAGCUAACAGCUGCAGAGUGAUCGCAUCUUAAACUGAAGCAGCUGUUGCUAAGUGACUGAGCUAAAUGCGGCGUUUCCAUCUUGCAAAUUUCACAAAUUAAUUUAGUGUACAGCUGUUAAUUUAUUAGCUUAGCUAUAAAUACAUUUAUUUUCUUUUUUAUCUAUUUGCAUUUGAGACUGCCUAGCAAUAAUCGGGGAACAAAAAUGGAAUCCCCAGCAUUGUCUGCCUUCAGUAUUCUUUCCUAGCUGAUCCUGUGAUAUGAUUUAUAUCUUGCCAUCUGAUUCCUUAAUUGCAGUUUGCGACGAUUAAGAAAACUGCAUAAUACUUGAAUUGCAAGCCAGUUUCUGUUAGAAGCACAUGAAAUAAUCAUUUGGAAGACCAAUCAGGAAGCAUUCAGAUCCUCCUUGGUGACGUGCCUGCUUUAGUUCUGUCGCUU
Long non-coding RNA from Numida meleagris (helmeted guineafowl), 2265 nucleotides. RefSeq lists it as uncharacterized. The transcript is spliced from 5 exons. The record is from RefSeq and is a predicted model, not a curated record. Lineage: Eukaryota; Metazoa; Chordata; Aves; Galliformes; Numididae.